RNAcentral lists this ribosomal RNA (253 nucleotides) under uncultured bacterium. RNAcentral's name for it is "partial 16S ribosomal RNA". It matches the Rfam family "Bacterial small subunit ribosomal RNA", at positions 524 to 776 of the family's 1533-position model. The record is from RNAcentral.
UACGAAGGGGGCUAGCGUUGUUCGGAAUUACUGGGCGUAAAGCGAACGUAGGCGGUGUUCCAUGUCAGAGGUGAAAGCCUGGGGCUCAACUCCAGAAUUGCCUUUGAAACGGGAACGCUUGAGUCCGAGAGAGGAUGGCGGAAUUCCUAGUGUAGAGGUGAAAUUCGUAGAUAUUAGGAAGAACACCAGUGGCGAAGGCGACUUACUGGUCCAUGACUGACGCUGAGGCUCGAAAGCGUGGGGAGCAAACAGG